AAGUGACAUGGUUGUUUAAGAAGUUCGAUCCUGGCAUUUGCUUGACCAAGUCCCAAGCCCAGGAGAAGCAAGCACUCAGUCACGCAAACCAGCACCCAAGGGGUGUGGGGGCAGCGGCCUGGCCCGUGUGCAGGACCUCCCUGCACACCUGCCUCCGACAGCCCACCUCACCAGCGAGCGCUGUGUCCAACAAGGAAGGUGGAGAGAGCAAGUGCGCUGCAGGGUAGGAGCCGGGGCCGCUCAGCCUCAGCGGGCGCCCCCAUCCGUCAGGGACCUCCCGUCCUUCCCCGGGCAGAGCUUACUGCGCACUGGUGGAAAGGGCGGAGAAGCACCCCCCUGGCGCCACCAGGAUGGAGCAGGGUAGGAGGGGAGCCCACGGGGGCGGGGGGACAGGAGAUGGAGUUUAAGGCACACAGCAAACGACAGAAGAGGGGUCUGCCGGCCUUCCCCAGGACAGAAAGGCCCCUCCACUCUCCAACUUCACUCACCCCGGAACUCCUGGCCCCGGCUCAGGUACACCUACGUCCUCCCUUGCUCCAUCUUCUUCCCAGCUCCCCAAAGCGCCAGGUGGUCAGGGAGAUGAAGGGAUGGGAAGAGGACGGUUCUGGGGCCAGUACUGUGACGGGAGCGCCAGCCCCAGGCCUACUGAAAGGCCACCUGGUGAACCUCUCUGGGUCACCUCAAAAGCUUACACCAUCUUGCAUUUAAAAAGCAGGGCAGGGAAAGUAAAAGGAGCCUCCCCGGUCUUCUCUGCUUUCUGCCCACCCGACUGGAAGUCCCCUUGCUUCCAGGUCCCCAGGGUACAGCCCCCCACCUUUCAGGGUCCUCCACCCUUGUCAUUUCAGCAGGUUCAGGACCCUAGAAUGUAGGGAGGGAUGAAGAGUGUCCCACUGUGCCUUGGUCUGCCCAUCUCCCUGUGCUGCUCCCAAGUGGGAGGGGGGAGGAGAGAGGAAUACAAAGUGAAAGCAGAAACCAAAACCAAAACCAAACCACGGGUUCACAAAUCAGGAACGAGACCUGCCUGCUGGCUCCACGGUGGGCCUGGCGUCCGCUCCCACGGAGGAGGGCAGCAGGAAGCUACUGGGGCUCCUGCCCCGCACGGCGGAGGGCUGGCUGGGCCCGGGACACGUGCAGCCUGCCUGAGGACAGGUCCAAAGUCCCUCCCGGUCUCGGAGCCGCCCUCGGAGCCUCUCUCGAGCGUUCUCCUCGCUCACGGCACCUACUUCUAGGUCUUCUCCUCCCGGUCUGUUUUUCUCCUUGUUAUGUUCCUAGGUUUGAUUUUCAGAGAAAGUUCCCACAGGGCCUCCUCCGCCAGGUGGUCGCUGAAGUCAUUGAAGAAGUUUAUGAUGUCAUCAUUUCUUCGGAUAUCGUAGUGCCUGUGGGGGGCCUCCAGUCAGGGCCGGUGUGGGGCCAGCAGCCCGACGGCCUCCUGGAGGGGCCAUGCGCACGGUCCCGGCACCGGAGCUCCCCAUAGGCAGAGGGCUGGCAGCAGAAGCCUGGUCGCCCCUCUCCAUGCUGUCCCAAGGAGCCCCCACUUCUUGGCCCACGCCCUGCACCCUCCCUGGAUGUGCUGUGUGGAGAACAAGCUGGCCACCAUCUCUGGAUGCAGACCCCGUUCCACAGACCCUAGUGUUCCUUCGUUCCCUCCCCGCUCCGGUACUCACGCUUGCUGGAAGCACCGCAUGCUGUCCAGAAUGUUGAACUGCUGCCACCGUUUGGAAAAAUUCACCUUCCCGUCAAUAUAGUCUGGGUUCCCCAGGUGAACAAAGGUGAGGUCCUGCAGGAUAAGCCCCCUGGGAGAAUGGAGAAGCCCAGUUACUGCUUCGGAGGGCACGUCUGGCCUGUGUUGGUCUCUUCCUGCGUGAACUCCUGACCUAGAAACUGUGGGUCCCUGGGAAAGCCAGCUCAGGUACGGCAGGGGAGCCUUGUAAAAUACAUGAAUAGGAAAAAAUAACCCAAAACCAGGGGGGAGGGAGGCAUGGACAGCCUCUUUGUUAACAGGUGCUUCUCAUUACAGAGAACGUGAAGCCAUAAGGUGAGCGAGGGGGCCCAGCCGGCCACCCCCAGGGGAAAGCAGGGUAGCAUUCUGGGAGGGCAGCCCCCACCCCGGGCCACUGUGGAGUCUUCUGCCCCCCUCAUGGAGGUUCCCAGUAUCUACCAGCUUAGCAAGGGCUCUGACAACAAAGAAACCUGUCUAGCUUUGACUUUUUCCACUAUUUCCUUCAGCUAAUGUGACUAGGACUGCUUUCCCCAAACCCCCCAUUUCCUCGAUGCCAUGGCUCACACUUGGGGAAACGCUCUCAGGGCUCCUGGGUGACUGACUGCAAGGUGCAGCCAAGUCUGAGGACCCUUGGUGGGGGGAAGCCUGGCAGAUGCGGGAAGGAAACGGCAGCGGGACUGGGAGAUGGGACAGCAGGACCGUUUACAUUGGACCCUUCCUUUCUGUUUUAAAAGUAAAACCUGCUCCUUGUUACAUAGUUUAAAGUUAAAAUAGAAGUCUAAUCGUCUGAGCUGGAAACCUUUAAGGGAGGGUUUCUGUAUCUACACCUAUGUCUCCCCCAGAGCAGCCGGGGGGCAAACCUGCAGGGAGCUCUACUCACAGGUAGGGGAUGCAGGGGGGCUCCACCUCGGAGAGGGCGGCCCGGUAGGCGCGGAAGGAGGACGAGCUGUCGAUCAGUGUACAGUACUCGGCCAGGCCCUGGGCGGGAGGGAUAGUGUGUGAGGGCUGAGACCAUGCUGGGGCCCCAGUGCCAGCCUCCUCCCUGACCCACCCGCCGCUGCCCAGCCCUGGGCCCUGCCUCGGCUACAGGGAGACCGGGCCUGCUGCGGAGAACUGGCUCCCAGGCCCGCAUAUGCCUGCUGCAGAACCACGGCUCGGAGGGCCUGGAGCCAGGCCUCUUGCUGGGUGCCACCCCACACUGUAGCCCAAGGAAGCUUCUCACGCACACCAGGAAUGGUGCCAUCCCUGGCUCCCAGCCUGCCUUUGAUCCUCGCUGCGCUCCAGGCAGAGCUGACUAGGCUUAGCAGGUGACCUCACUGAGCUGCUGCUGCCCCCUCCCACCCGCUGCUUGCCUCUUCACCUUUUAGCUGCCUCGGACCAGGAGUGUCACCUCCUCAGGACCUCCUAGGUGUUUCUGUGGCAGCCAGUGUGAAUGUCCCAUGCUUCUCCAUACAACAGACUUACAACUUUCUCUUUAUGUCACCCCUUAAGAGAACACCUGGGUGGCCCAGCUAACACCCAGCCCCUAUGGGCUUUGCCUCUCUUCUCAAGGAACCUCCCCACACAAGGAUAAAGGUCUAGUUCCUUGCCAGGCCUCCCCAAAGCCCUCCUGGUCCAGAGCAGGUCCCCUCCCCAGUGACACAGCCACACUGGCCCCCGCCCUGCUGCUUGAGCGUGCCAGUUUCUAGACGCUUCUGUCCCCUCUGACCGGAAUUCCCUUUCUUCCCAGCAAACUCUUCCUAUUUGGGUCUUGGUGUGAUUGACCAUCCCUCAGGGGACCUCCCCGACCCUCGAACGGGCCAGACGACCCCAUCCUUUCCCCUUUGGCAAUUACCCUAAAGAAAUCAAUAGGUCUGUCCUGUUCACAGUACGUUCCUAAGGACUAAUGCUGCUGGCAGCCCAGAACAGCACCUCCAGAAGCAUGGGUGCAAGGAAGGAAGGAAGAAAGCAGUGAAGCAGGGACCCAGGUAUGAUCCUGCAGCCCAGGCAGCAGGACCCUGUGAGGGGACAAGCCCAGCACAAACCACGCAGCCCCUUCAGGCCCAAAGACUGGAGAUUAGCCACAGCAAACGGGGGUGGGGUUGGGGGGUGGUUGGCAGCUGAGCAGACACCUGAGCACCUUCCCCAACAGCUGGCUCUCCAGGGGCUCGGCAGGCCUCCCACCUCCUCCCUCCCCACCACUCACCUCCGAGGUCUGCUUCUGCCACUCCAGCCUGCGGAUGGGAGCCGAGUCCAGGGCUGAGAGAAUGGCCAGGUAGGAGUUAAAGUUGUUCAGCUUCCGUAAGUGCUGCAGAGAGAGGGGAGGCGGCCGUGAGGCAGGCCCAGGGCUGCUGGGCAGGGUCCGAAGGAGGAGACUCUGGGGAGGACAGCCACGGUUACCUUCAUGAUCUUGAUGAACUUCAACAGCAGCCGCUCCCUGUCCUGGGCUUUUUCUUGUAACAUGAUUAUUGACCGGACCCUGCAGGAACCCAUGGGAAAAAGAGAUGGCUGAACUGACUGGUCUCCUUCUAGACCCCUAGGUGGUCCUAGUGGAGAGAGAGGGAUGUGGACACCUGCACCACAUGCCCAGGGCUUUUGAGGUGUCAAGCAUAGCUCCCCCCAUUUCUGCUCUCGAGGAGCUCACAGCAUUCCAGGGAUGGGCUGAGAGGUCACAAAGCCUGAUGGGGACCUCGGGCCGUGCGUGCAGAUGGAGGCUUUAUAACAUCCAAGCAGAGAUUCCCUGACAAGUGCUGACCUGAGCACCCUUGGGGCUGGAAAUGCUCCUCACGUGGCCUCAGGAUUAGUUCAGGAGACGAGUGAGCAUGUGGGUUAGGAGGGCACAUUGAGAAUCUGAGCAGCAACCCCAAGGCCAGCCUUGCACGCGGACCUCACCGUGCCCUGGAGACCCUCUGGCUUCACACGGCCACGGCCACGGCCAGUCCCCUCAGACGGGGUGCUGCCUCUGCUUGUCCUUUGGCCCCAGUGAAGGGUGCCUGCCCUGAGCACACCCUGAGGACCAUGGCUCAGAGGGGCCCCCCUGCACCUCCUCCUUGGAACCCCGAGGCGUGUGCCCAGCAGGGGGCUGGGUCGGAGGCUGGGCUCAGGGCCGUGUGCAGUUUCCGUCUGCCCUACAAGCCCCUGCUUCCUGUGGCGGCUUGCUACCGCUGAGCUCACGCUGCUGAGGAGCGCGGCACUUCCUGUGGUGGCAGAAAAGCCGGCAACGUGGGACAUGACCCAGGUUCCCUCCAACAAGCAGUCCUCGGAGCGUCUGACACAUCUUGGAUGUUCCGUCAGUGGCAGCAGUGGGCUUCGUGGCUACCACGCUCUGACCAUCCUCUGUUUGACGCAGAGAGGCUGGGGGCGCCUUGAAGUCACAUCUCAAAAAGCUGACCAUUCUUUACAUAUUAUAGGGCAGCAUCCGUGUGAGGCUCAGCCCUGAGGCCGCCUGGCAGCGGGAAGCUGGGCCGUGACCAGCUCAGGAUGGCGCAGUGACCACCCCUGCCAGCACCUAUGGCAGACAUUACUAAUCGAUCCCGGCUCUCCUCCCCGUCCCAGGCUCCUCCUCAGCCAGCGUGCUCUCUGCUGCCUGCAGUUCCCAAGUAAUGCCCAGGGUCUCGGAAGGAGCUAGGAGGAAAAGGGCACCUCCUCCUUGUGUGAAGGAGAGCACAGGGACCCAGCCAGACGUGCUGCGAUAGAAAACCGGGGCUUCGCACAGCCGCCCCUUCUUACCAGUAGGACAUAUUGUUGAAGUGCUCCGUGAACUGGGUCAAGUUGGGGCUUUUCUCCUCAUUCUGCUCUUUUGCCCAAAGCAAAACCUCAGGAAUCUGAAAGAGAAGUAGACCGGAUGGAGCUGGAGCCCUCUGGCUUCCCGACGAUGGGCAGGUUCUCCUGCUUAGGGACCAGCAGCAGCUGCUCACCCCGGGGCAAGGGACAGCCUUCUUCCCAGCGCUGCUCAACACCAUACCUCUAUUUUAUAAAAGAGCUCAGCAUCCAGCAGGGUCAGCUGCUCGGCUAUUUCAUGGCUGUGAAAGUCAUGCAAAGUCCCCGGCCUAGAAGACAGAGGCAUGAGAUGAGCGGUGGGGACAGGGACAGUGGGAGCUGGCUGGGCGCCGUCCUGCGGCCUCAGAGCCGGGCAGCCAGAGCGAGCAGCCGCCCCAAGCCCGGCCUCACGGCAGGACGACGGCAGCUUCAGAGCUGACCAGUGGCAGGUCAGGACCAGACUGCAUUCCUACUGGGGACCGUGGUGCCUCUGCCGGGUGGGUCCCACUGCCUGAGGACUCAGCCUGACCCCAUGGCCGGGGCCCAGCGGGAACAGAGAUGGCUCCCCAGGGAUGAAGACUGAAACUCGCUGACAAGGAAGUAAUGCUUCAACAUCUAUGACUAGGACACAGGAUGUUCUUCCGGAGCACGCGGGCCAGGCUGAGCUCCCCGUUGCACACCAAGCGGAAGACCAGCUCCAUCAGCAGCUUCAAGAUCUCUUCUGUCAACUCCACGAGGCUAGAGGACCAACGGCCACACAGUGAGGGGCCGGGACACAGCCCAGGAAGAGGACGGCUGCCAUCGGGCCCAGAAUCCACCUCAGAAUACCCAAGGGUCACAUGGCACCGACCAGCAGGGCUAGGAAACCUCUUCAGGGAAAAGAGCAAGAAAAGGUGUCGGGAUGGCCACCCGGAGCCUCAAAAGUGCCAGGAGAGGUCCCGUCCUGCUGGUGACACGAAUGGCCCCGCUCUCAGUAAAUGCUCGCUGGCACUGGACAAGCUCCAGGGCCCCCAUUUGGGCCCGGAGCCACGGAGACACUCCCACUCCGAUCCUGUCCCAGAGGAGGCCCCUGGUCCUGCCUGGGUGAUGAAUCACUACGAGGCCCCAGCCCCUCAGAGCAGCCGCCUGCAGGCCGCUCCUGAACUCCCUCUGCACAGCGCUUUCUGUGCCCGGCGGUCUCAGUGCUGUCCCGGGCUGAGGCCAUCCUCCCCGCAGAAGGGAAGUGCCUUGAAGGCAGGGCCCACAGUUUCCUUCACCACGGCUCUCCAGACCUAGGAGACUGAGCGGCUGGACGUGCGCUUGUUAAGUGAAUGGUGACGGGCCAUCUGCAACUCUGAAAAAUGGUGCUCUCGGGUUCAGUGCGGCUGGAGGCAGAACCCGUGGGCUCAAGUUGCUUGGUGCAGACGCCGUUUGCUACCAGGUGUUCAACUACAAAACCCAUCACCCCCUGCUUAACCCGUGGGGAGAUCUUAGCCCGGGCAGACGGAUCAGGCAGACUCCACAUGGAUAGCACCUAGGACUGGCCACCAGCAGGCUGGGUGGGCAGCCCUCUACAGCAGUUCCCUACAGAAUGAAUGCUUUCUGUUUUUAUUCCUGUCUCUUGCUAUUUUAUUUUUACCACCUCUUCAACCACUUAUGCUUAGGCCUGACAAGUGGGUACUGCCUGGCUCUGUGCCUAGAACCCCAGAGGUAGCUGAACCUUGGCCUGGAGAGGGAGGAAAAGCUUGAACUUGUAGAACAGUUCACUAAGAAGGUGACGUCAACACGAAGUUGCGGAUGGCAAGGUGGAUCUGCAGGCCCUACACAUGGAGAAAUUUACUACAUAUUUCUAAACCUGGUCAGGUGUGACUUGUGCUAAUACUGAAAAAUGUUACAAAAGAUUAAAGAGACAUACAACUAAAUGUA
Leptonychotes weddellii (Weddell seal) is the source of this 7363-nucleotide non-coding RNA. The record is from RefSeq and is a predicted model, not a curated record. Lineage: Eukaryota; Metazoa; Chordata; Mammalia; Carnivora; Phocidae.